ACGGAAGGCAGCAGUGGGGAAUAUUGGGCAAUGGGCGAAAGCCUGACCCAGCAACGCCGCGUGAAGGAAGAAGGUUUUCGGAUUGUAAACUUCUUUUAUCAGGGACGAAGAAAGUGACGGUACCUGAUGAAUAAGCCACGGCUAACUACGUGCCAGCAGCCGCGGUAAUACGUAGGUGGCAAGCGUUAUCCGGAUUUACUGGGUGUAAAGGGCGCGUAGGCGGGGAUGCAAGUCAGGUGUGAAAUCUAUGGGCUUAACCCAUAAACUGCAGUUGAAACUGUAUCUCUUGAGUGUCGGAGAGGUAGACGGAAUUCCUAGUGUAGCGGUGAAAUGCGUAGAUAUUAGGAGGAACACCAGUGGCGAAGGCGGUCUACCGGACGAUAACUGACGCUGAGGCGCGAAAGCGUGGGGAGCAAACAGGAUUAGAUACCCUGGUA
This 437-nucleotide ribosomal RNA is filed under the name uncultured Oscillospiraceae bacterium. RNAcentral describes it as "partial 16S ribosomal RNA". It matches the Rfam family "Bacterial small subunit ribosomal RNA", at positions 341 to 792 of the family's 1533-position model. The record is from RNAcentral. Lineage: Bacteria; Bacillati; Bacillota; Clostridia; Eubacteriales; Oscillospiraceae.